GACGAAGGGGGCUAGCGUUGUUCGGAAUUACUGGGCGUAAAGCGUGCGCAGGCGGUGGCUCAAGCCAGGCGUGAAAUCCCCGGGCUUAACCUGGGAAUGGCGUUUGGGACUGGGUCGCUAGAGUGUGGCAGAGGGAGGUGGAAUUCCACGUGUAGCAGUGAAAUGCGUAGAGAUGUGGAGGAACACCGAUGGCGAAGGCAGCCUCCUGGGCCAGCACUGACGCUCAUGCACGAAAGCGUGGGGAGCAAACAGG
Molecule: ribosomal RNA, 253 nt
Filed under: uncultured bacterium
Lineage: Bacteria
Description: partial 16S ribosomal RNA
Rfam family: Bacterial small subunit ribosomal RNA
Source: RNAcentral